GGAGUCUGGACCGUGUCUCAGUUCCAGUGUGGGGGACCUUCCUCUCAGAACCCCUAUCCAUCGUAGCCUUGGUGGGCCGUUGCCCCGCCAACUAGCUAAUGGAACGCAUCCCCAUCCCUUACCGAAUAACUCUUUGGUCAAGUGAAAAGGCUAUCGCUUGACAACAUCGGGGAUUAAUCCUACUUUCGCAGGGCUAUACCCGAGUAAGGGCCAGGUUGGAUACGCGUUACUCACCCGUGCGCCGGUCGCCAUCGACAAUAGCAAGCUAUCGUCAUGCUGCCCCUCGACUUGCAUGUGUUAAGCCUGUAGCUAGCGUUCAUC
RNAcentral lists this ribosomal RNA (321 nucleotides) under uncultured Bacteroides sp. RNAcentral describes it as "partial 16S ribosomal RNA". The record is from RNAcentral. Lineage: Bacteria; Pseudomonadati; Bacteroidota; Bacteroidia; Bacteroidales; Bacteroidaceae.